UACGGAAGGCAGCAGUGGGGAAUAUUGCACAAUGGGCGAAAGCCUGAUGCAGCUAUGCCGCGUGUAUGAAGAAGGCCUUAGGGUUGUAAAGUACUUUCAUCGGGGAGGAAAAACAAAACUAAUAAUUUUAUUUCUUGACGUUACCCGAAAAAGAAGCACCGGCUAACUCCGUGCCAGCAGCCGCGGUAAUACGGAGGGUGCUAGCGUUAAUCAGAAUUACUGGGCGUAAAGAGCACGUAGGUGGUUUUUUUAAGUCAGAUGUGAAAUCCCUGGGCUUAACCUAGGAACUGCAUUUUGAAACUGAAAUACUAGAGUAUCGUAGAGGGAGGUAGAAUUCUAGGUGUAGCGGUGAAAUGCGUAGAUAUCUGGAGGAAUACCUGUGGCGAAAGCGGCCUCCUAAACGAAUACUGACACUGAGGUGCGAAAGCGUGGGGAGCAAACAGGGAUUAGAUACCC
This 456-nucleotide ribosomal RNA is filed under the name uncultured bacterium. RNAcentral describes it as "bacterial SSU rRNA". It matches the Rfam family "Bacterial small subunit ribosomal RNA", at positions 340 to 787 of the family's 1533-position model. The record is from RNAcentral.